UGGGCUGUGACUCAGUGGUAGAGUGCUUGCCUAGCAUGCAUGAAACACUGGGUUCAAGCCCGGCAACACAU
Molecule: transfer RNA, 71 nt
Filed under: Ictidomys tridecemlineatus (thirteen-lined ground squirrel)
Lineage: Eukaryota; Metazoa; Chordata; Mammalia; Rodentia; Sciuridae
Description: Spermophilus tridecemlineatus (thirteen-lined ground squirrel) tRNA
Rfam family: tRNA
About the family: Transfer RNA (tRNA) molecules are approximately 80 nucleotides in length. Their secondary structure includes four short double-helical elements and three loops (D, anti-codon, and T loops).
Source: Rfam by way of RNAcentral